GACGAACCGUGCGAACGUUGUUCGGACUCAUUGGGCUUAAAGGGCGCGUAGGCGGGCUAGCAAGUCAGGGGUGAAAGCCCACGGCUCAACCGUGGAAGUGCCUUUGAUACUGCCAGCCUGGAGGGAGGUAGGGGCGUGCGGAACUUCCGGUGGAGCGGUGAAAUGCGUAGAUAUCGGAAGGAACACCGGUGGCGAAAGCGGCGCGCUGGACCUCUUCUGACGCUGAGGCGCGAAAGCCAGGGGAGCGAACGGG
RNAcentral lists this ribosomal RNA (253 nucleotides) under uncultured bacterium. RNAcentral's name for it is "partial 16S ribosomal RNA". It matches the Rfam family "Bacterial small subunit ribosomal RNA", at positions 524 to 776 of the family's 1533-position model. The record is from RNAcentral.